GAGUUUGAUCCUGGCUCAGGAUGAACGCUGGCGGAGUGCCUAAUACAUGCAAGUCGAGCGAGAAGUUUACUUCUAGCGGCGAACGGGUGAGUAACACGUAUUCAACCUGCCCAUCAGUCUGGGAUAACAUCGAGAAAUCGGUGCUAAUACCGGAUAGCAGAUACUUACAUAAGUAUAUAUCUCUAAAGGAGCGUUUGCUUCGCUGAUGAACGGGGAUGCGCAGCAUUAGGUAGUUGGUGGGAUAACAGCCCACCAAGCCAACGAUGCUUAGCCGGCCUGAGAGGGUGAUCGGCCACACUGGAACUGAGACACGGUCCAGACUCCUACGGGAGGCAGCAGUAGGGAAUUUUCGACAAUGGGCGCAAGCCUGAUCGAGCAACACCGCGUGAGGGAUGAAGGAUUUCGGUCUGUAAACCUCUGUUAUAAGGGAAGAAAAAGCAGGAUAGGAAAUGAUUCUGCCCUGACGGUACCUUAUCAGAAAGCGACGGCUAACUUCGUGCCAGCAGCCGCGGUAAUACGAAGGUCGCAAGCGUUAUCCGGAUUUACUGGGCGUAAAGCGUCCGCAGCUGGUUCACCCAGUCUGAUGUUAAAGGCAGAGGCUCAACCUCUGUGUGCAUUGGAUACUAGUGGGCUAGAGUUAUGGAGGGGCAAGUGGAAUUCCUAGUGUAUCGGUGGAAUGAGUAGAUAUUAGGAGGAACACCAGUGGCGAAGGCGACUUGCUGGCCAUAUACUGACAGUCAUGGACGAAAGCGUGGGGAGCAAACGGGAUUAGAUACCCCGGUAGUCCACGCCGUAAACGCUGAGUACUAGGUGUUGGGCAUAAGCUCAGUGCCGCAGCUAACGCAUUAAGUACUCCGCCUGGGUAGUACGCACGCAAGUGUAAAACUCAAAGGAAUUGACGG
This 902-nucleotide ribosomal RNA is filed under the name uncultured bacterium. RNAcentral describes it as "bacterial SSU rRNA". It matches the Rfam family "Bacterial small subunit ribosomal RNA", at positions 9 to 916 of the family's 1533-position model. The record is from RNAcentral.